Molecule: ribosomal RNA, 468 nt
Filed under: uncultured bacterium
Lineage: Bacteria
Description: partial 16S ribosomal RNA
Rfam family: Bacterial small subunit ribosomal RNA
Source: RNAcentral
GACGAACGCUGGCGGCGUGCUUAACACAUGCAGGUCGAACGGAAAGGCCCUGCUUUUGUGGGGUGCUCGAGUGGCGAACGGGUGAGUAACACGUGAGUAACCUGCCCUUGACUUUGGGAUAACUUCAGGAAACUGGGGCUAAUACCGGAUAGGAGCUCCUGCUGCAUGGUGGGGGUUGGAAAGUUUCGGCGGUUGGAGAUGGACUCGCGGCUUAUCAGCUUGUUGGUGGGGUAGUGGCUUACCAAGGCUUUGACGGGUAGCCGGCCUGAGAGGGUGACCGGCCACAUUGGGACUGCGAUACGGCCCAGACUCCUACGGGAGGCAGCAGUGGGGAAUAUUGCACAAUGGGCGGAAGCCUGAUGCAGCAACGCCGCGUGCGGGAUGACGGCCUUCGGGUUGUAAACCGCUUUCGCAUGUGACGAAGCGUGAGUGACGGUAAUGGGUAAAGAAGCACCGGCUAACUACGUG